CCUACGGGAGGCAGCAGUGGGGAAUAUUGCACAAUGGGGGGAACCCUGAUGCAGCGACGCCGCGUGGGUGAGGAAGUACUUCGGUAUGUAAAGCCCUAUCAGCAGGGAAGAAAAUGACGGUACCUGACUAAGAAGCCCCGGCUAACUACGUGCCAGCAGCCGCCGGAAUACGUAGGGGGCAAGCGUGAUCCGGAUUUACUGGGUGUAAAGGGAGCGGAGACGGCGUGGCAAGUCUGAUGUGGAAGGCCGGGGCUAAAACCCGGGACUGCAUUGGAUACUGGCAUGCUAGAGUGAUAGAGGGGCAAGCGGAAUUCCAUGUGUAGCGGUGAAAUGCGUAGAUAUUAGGAGGAACACCAGUGGCGAAGGCGGCUUGCUGGACGGUAACUGACGUUGAGGCACGAAAGCGUGGGGAGCAAACAGGAUUAGAUACCCCGGUAGUC
RNAcentral lists this ribosomal RNA (440 nucleotides) under uncultured bacterium. Its description in RNAcentral is "partial 16S ribosomal RNA". It matches the Rfam family "Bacterial small subunit ribosomal RNA", at positions 338 to 795 of the family's 1533-position model. The record is from RNAcentral.